UUAUGUAAAUUAGAAGGCGCUUCCUUGCCAAGGUGCUCUGAGGUAAAGGUAAGUGCAGAUUUAGCAGCGCCGCUAACAGCAAAAAAAAUAAAAAAUAAAAACGCACACAGAGUUAGAAUCUGAGGACAUGACGAAGAGAAAUAAACUCAUAUUUAUUCCCAGGACAGAGUUACAGCUCGGAUUUAUUCUCCACACGUGAAUCUGUGGAUGAUUUUGAUGAUUCCUGGCGGUUGCUCUCAUCCGUACGGGUCGCGCGCGCAGGCAGCAGAAAUCUUCUACAUCUAAUCAAACUGGACAGCCUGCUGUGAGGUUUCAUUCAUCAGCUCAAGAGCAGACAGGACUUGCCAUGUGGAUGAUCCUCUCACCAGUCAGCCGUCCUCCAUUAGCUGCUAGCAUGAAGGCACAGGUGUAAUGCCGUCGAGUGCUGUCAAGUGUCUCUGAGAGCAGUAGUACUCCACACACUAGUGCUGCCUAAAUGCUGAGCUGAUGGAGACUUUUUUUUGGGAAGGUAAAACUGUUUAUUACUUUUUGUGUCCGAACCUACAGCAAAGGCAAACAAAAAUCUUAUCACCAGAGUUCGACCAAAUCUUUAUUCGAAAAGCUUAAAAACCAUCCUUAUACAGUGAGAGCUAAAAACGGAAUUGUAUCCGAUGUAAGUUUUAGCUCAGUGCCAUAAUAAAAGCUCUACACCAGAUGUGCAAAUUAUGUGUACUCAUUAGGAAAUCUCUGGGCUACGACACCAACAGGAGCCAUUGGAGCCAACAACAUGAUAUCAUAGUAAAAACUGAACUGUUAUGCCUGGAAUCAUACAAGCAUCAAAGGACAUCAUUUAAAUAAAUGUUAGCUCACUGAACAGAACUGGUGCGCAGGGUUAUUUUGAGUGAAUUGCGCACUGCUUCAUCUCAGAGUUUGUGUGCUGACGCAGAGGACAUUUCUCAGACUCCGUCUAUUGUACUUAUUCUGACUUUAAUUGCAGCUCUGUUCAGGGAAAUGACCUGAGGGGAUUUUGAUUUGUCUAAAGUAGUCAUCUCUAUGCAGAGUCACAGUAAAGGGUGUAGCGUCAGACCCACAGGGUUUAGCAUUCAUUCUAGCUUAAAGGUCACGUUGUGAACGUGAGUACACAGAUAUCACCUAGUGUUACAUCACCUCUUGUAGCAGGACACCUUUUAUUAUGUCUCCGCCACUAGAUGGUGGAAGUAUUAUGUUAUGUCGUCUGAGCAUCCGUUCGAGAUUCUCUUUAUAGCUCGAGAAUGAGCGGUUGAACUUUUUUGAAGUGGUUUGAAGUUGCAUUUGAAGGUAAUUUUGUUCAGCAUUCACGUAGUGUUUUGCUAUCGAAUUCAUUUUCCAUGAGUUAGUUUACUAAAUGACAAUACAGCGUAUUUUCCAAGGCGUCCAUUAGCACUGCCUUUGGAGAUUACUGUCGGUUUGGCAGAGGACAGGUAGCGAGACGUGAUGGAGAACCUGAUUAGAAUUUUGGCAGAGGAUUUUCAUACAGAUGGGAGCACACGUUAGGCCCGUACACACAGCCUCUUUUGCUCUCUCUCCCUCUCUCUUUUUUUAUUUCUCUUUUUUUCCCUCCUCAUUGUGCUCAUUACACUGGGCAGUUUCCUGAAGAAAAACAGAUGAAUGCGUAUAAAGCUGUGUUGUGGUUAUUUAUCACUAAGCAGGGGUCCUUUAGGCUCCCAGUCCCCACAUCCUCUAAUUAUAUCGCUAACCAUUUAAACUACAAAACCAGUAAAUUCCACUGUACGUGUGUGGUCGGGUGAUUGGGUGUGGGUGGGCACUGUUUCCAGGUGAUGCUUUGGGACUAAUCUUCUCUUUUUCUCCUGCCUGUAUUGUGUGCAGUGAGCAGCGUCUGGGAGAGAUAAGAGUAUGUGAAUGAUCCUCCACUCCUCCUUAUUCAGCCAUCCAUUUGUGUGUGUGUGUGUGUGUGUGUGUGUGUGUGUGUGUGGGCUUGUUUUUAUGUCGUGUUUUGGACCAAAUAUCCUCAAGGACAGGGAUAUCUUCUUAGUUUUGUUUUUUCACAGUUUUGACCUUGUGGGGACAAUUCGCUGGUUCAUGUGAGGAAAACUGCUUUGUGGCGUUUAUUUAAAUAAAUAAAUAAAUGAAUAAAAGAUCCAAAAGGUUUCCUUUUGGUUACUUCAGGUUAGGAUUAUAUUUAUAUUUAAGAAGAUAGUACUGCUAUUCUUGACUUUUUUUUUCCCCACCAAGGUGACAUUUUCGCGCUUUCACCUCUGUGAACCGGUUCAAUUCUGACAUUUUUUUUUUUUUUUACAAAUUCAGAGAGCAAGCAUAAUAGCAUUUAUUUAUGCAAAGGUUUGCUAUGUAGCUUUUGUUUAUUUUUGUAUUUUUAAACAACUUUGCAGUGACUUACUUGACCCCCAGUACCAGAUCUGCUGAAUGCAUAUUGCAGGGAAAGCUGUGGGAAAGCUUACUGUUCUAGGAAAGUAAUCCGUGACAUCAUGGCUACUGUUAUCACAAAAAGAGUUGAUUAUUUCUUUUCAACUUGACCUAAAGUGUUUUAUUCCUCUUAUAUUCACAGAUUAGUUAGAACUAGUUUGUUAAUAUAUAAACCCGGGAUUUGCAUCUGCACUACCGUCAGAGCCGCUGUUAUAGAAAAUGAAUCUCAGCAAUCGAGGAAUCAACAGUGCUGCGAUACUGAUGUGGUACGGAUGUACAUUUUUUUGCCUGGUGGGAACCAUGAAGCAUUUAUUUGUCAAGCCACACAUGAUAUUAUGGAGAUGCCAGUGGUCUUGACCCUUUCUGCUCUCCGGACCUGCCUGAUCCAUCCUGGAGCCCUCAUCAACUGGAGGCUACAGCCUGGAGAUUGCUUAGGAUGGUACCUCUUUUUUUUACACUCAGGUCUCUUUUAGUGAGCAGUGGACUAGUUCAACAAACAGACUUCAUGUUAAAGCCAUAAUGAACUUUCCAUUACUUUAACACUAUCCUUUGUUACCCAGAUGAAGACGGGUUGCCUGAGUCUGGUUCCUUUCAAUGUUUCUUCCUCAUAUCAUCUUAGGGAGAUUUUCCUCACCACCAUCGCCACCGGCUCGCUCAAUAGAGAUAAAUUCACACACUUAAAAUCUCCAUCCUGUGUUUAGGUUUCUGUAAAGCUGCUUUGAGACAAUGUCCAUCGUUAAAUGUGCUAUACAAAUCAAAUUAAAUUGAAUUGAAUGAUUUCUAAAUGGUUUCGCUUAAAUUAGAUUUGAGUGGACAUUAUUUAUAAGUCUCUCAUUAAGAUCUUGUCCGAUACCAGUCAGAACCACAAUUUGGACCCUGCUCUGGCUGAUUUCCUCUCGCCUUUGCCCAGGAAGAAGUCACACCGCCACCAUCAUUCAGUGGAAGCUUCUUAGUUUAAU
Molecule: long non-coding RNA, 3359 nt
Organism: Ictalurus punctatus (channel catfish)
Lineage: Eukaryota; Metazoa; Chordata; Actinopteri; Siluriformes; Ictaluridae
Exons: 3
Source: RefSeq, a predicted model, not a curated record